GGGUUGUGAGGUUAAGCGACCAAGCGUACACGGUGGAUGCCCUGGCAGUCAGAGGCGAUGAAGGACGUGCUAAUCUGCGAUAAGCGCCGGUAAGGUGAUAUGAACCGUUAUAACCGGCGAUUUCCGAAUGGGGAAACCCAGUGUGACUCGUCACACUAUCAUUAACUGAAUCCAUAGGUUAAUGAGGCGAACCGGGGGAACUGAAACAUCUAAGUACCCCGAGGAAAAGAAAUCAACCGAGAUUCCCCCAGUAGCGGCGAGCGAACGGGGAGGAGCCCAGAGCCUGAAUCAGCAUGUGUGUUAGUGGAAGCGUCUGGAAAGGCGCGCGAUACAGGGUGACAGCCCCGUACACAAAAGCGCAUAUGCUGUGAGCUCGAUGAGUAGGGCGGGACACGUGGUAUCCUGUCUGAAUAUGGGGGGACCAUCCUCCAAGGCUAAAUACUCCUGACUGACCGAUAGUGAACCAGUACCGUGAGGGAAAGGCGAAAAGAACCCCGGCGAGGGGAGUGAAACAGAACCUGAAACCGUGUACGUACAAGCAGUGGGAGCCCCACCACUAAGCCAGUGGUGAACUCCACAUACGCAUCCUUUGCUGAAGGUGCGGUUAACGGAGCGUAAGCGACGUUCAACCUCAAAAAAGCAGAGGGGGCUUAGUGGUGGGGUGACUGCGUACCUUUUGUAUAAUGGGUCAGCGACUUAUAUUCUGUAGCAAGGUUAACCGCAUAGGGGAGCCGAAGGGAAACCGAGUCUUAACCGGGCGUUAAGUUGCAGGGUAUAGACCCGAAACCCGGUGAUCUAGCCAUGGGCAGGUUGAAGGUUGGGUAACACUAACUGGAGGACCGAACCGACUAAUGUUGAAAAAUUAGCGGAUGACCUGUGGCUGGGGGUGAAAGGCCAAUCAAACCGGGAGAUAGCUGGUUCUCCCCGAAAGCUAUUUAGGUAGCGCCUCGUGAAGUCAUCUCCGGGGGUAGAGCACUGUUUCGGCUAGGGGGCCAUCCCGGCUUACCAACCCGAUGCAAACUGCGAAUACCGGAGAAUGUUAUCACGGGAGACACACGGCGGGUGCUAACGUCCGUCGUGAAGAGGGAAACAACCCAGACCGCCAGCUAAGGUCCCAAAGUCAUGGUUAAGUGGGAAACGAUGUGGGAAGGCCCAGACAGCCAGGAUGUUGGCUUAGAAGCAGCCAUCAUUUAAAGAAAGCGUAAUAGCUCACUGGUCGAGUCGGCCUGCGCGGAAGAUGUAACGGGGCUAAACCAUGCACCGAAGCUGCGGCAGCGACGCUUAUGCGUUGUUGGGUAGGGGAGCGUUCUGUAAGCCUGUGAAGGUGGCCUGUGAGGGUUGCUGGAGGUAUCAGAAGUGCGAAUGCUGACAUAAGUAACGAUAAAGCGGGUGAAAAGCCCGCUCGCCGGAAGACCAAGGGUUCCUGUCCAACGUUAAUCGGGGCAGGGUGAGUCGACCCCUAAGGCGAGGCCGAAAGGCGUAGUCGAUGGGAAACGGGUUAAUAUUCCCGUACUUGGUGUUACUGCGAAGGGGGGACGGAGAAGGCUAUGUUGGCCGGGCGACGGUUGUCCCGGUUUAAGCGUGUAGGCUGACUUUCCAGGCAAAUCCGGAGAGUCAAGGCUGAGGCGUGACGACGAGGCACCACGGUGCUGAAGCAACAAAUGCCCUGCUUCCGUGAAAGCCUCUAAGCAUCAGGUAACAUCAAAUCGUACCCCAAACCGACACAGGUGGUCAGGUAGAGAAUACCAAGGCGCUUGAGAGAACUCGGGUGAAGGAACUAGGCAAAAUGGUGCCGUAACUUCGGGAGAAGGCACGCUGACACGUAGGUGAAGUGGUUUACCCAUGGAGCUGAAGUCAGUCGAAGAUACCAGCUGGCUGCAACUGUUUAUUAAAAACACAGCACUGUGCAAACACGAAAGUGGACGUAUACGGUGUGACGCCUGCCCGGUGCCGGAAGGUUAAUUGAUGGGGUCAGCGCAAGCGAAGCUCCUGAUCGAAGCCCCGGUAAACGGCGGCCGUAACUAUAACGGUCCUAAGGUAGCGAAAUUCCUUGUCGGGUAAGUUCCGACCUGCACGAAUGGCGUAAUGAUGGCCAGGCUGUCUCCACCCGAGACUCAGUGAAAUUGAACUCGCUGUGAAGAUGCAGUGUACCCGCGGCAAGACGGAAAGACCCCGUGAACCUUUACUAUAGCUUGACACUGAACAUUGAGCCUUGAUGUGUAGGAUAGGUGGGAGGCUUUGAAGCGUGGACGCCAGUCUGCGUGGAGCCAACCUUGAAAUACCACCCUUUAAUGUUUGAUGUUCUAACGUGGACCCGUAAUCCGGGUUGCGGACAGUGUCUGGUGGGUAGUUUGACUGGGGCGGUCUCCUCCUAAAGAGUAACGGAGGAGCACGAAGGUUGGCUAAUCCUGGUCGGACAUCAGGAGGUUAGUGCAAUGGCAUAAGCCAGCUUGACUGCGAGCGUGACGGCGCGAGCAGGUGCGAAAGCAGGUCAUAGUGAUCCGGUGGUUCUGAAUGGAAGGGCCAUCGCUCAACGGAUAAAAGGUACUCCGGGGAUAACAGGCUGAUACCGCCCAAGAGUUCAUAUCGACGGCGGUGUUUGGCACCUCGAUGUCGGCUCAUCACAUCCUGGGGCUGAAGUAGGUCCCAAGGGUAUGGCUGUUCGCCAUUUAAAGUGGUACGCGAGCUGGGUUUAGAACGUCGUGAGACAGUUCGGUCCCUAUCUGCCGUGGGCGCUGGAGAACUGAGGGGGGCUGCUCCUAGUACGAGAGGACCGGAGUGGACGCAUCACUGGUGUUCGGGUUGUCAUGCCAAUGGCACUGCCCGGUAGCUAAAUGCGGAAGAGAUAAGUGCUGAAAGCAUCUAAGCACGAAACUUGCCCCGAGAUGAGUUCUCCCUGAGACUAUAAGUCUCCUGAAGGAACGUUGAAGACGACGACGUUGAUAGGCCGGGUGUGUAAGCGCAGCGAUGCGUUGAGCUAACCGGUACUAAUGAACCGUGAGGCUUAACCUUACAACGCCGAAGCUGUU
RNAcentral lists this ribosomal RNA (3029 nucleotides) under Salmonella enterica subsp. enterica. RNAcentral describes it as "bacterial LSU rRNA". It matches the Rfam family "Bacterial large subunit ribosomal RNA". Lineage: Bacteria; Pseudomonadati; Pseudomonadota; Gammaproteobacteria; Enterobacterales; Enterobacteriaceae. The record is from RNAcentral. RNAcentral also lists the same sequence under 1 other name.